RNAcentral lists this ribosomal RNA (641 nucleotides) under Verrucomicrobiota bacterium. RNAcentral describes it as "bacterial SSU rRNA". It matches the Rfam family "Bacterial small subunit ribosomal RNA", at positions 28 to 639 of the family's 1533-position model. Lineage: Bacteria; Pseudomonadati; Verrucomicrobiota. The record is from RNAcentral.
AACGAACGCUGGCGGCGUGGAUAAGACAUGCAAGUCGAACGCUGAUCUUUAAAUAGCAAUAUUUAAAGGUUGGAGUGGCGCAAGGGUGUGUAACACGUGGGGUAAUUUGCCUUAAAAGAUUGGAAUACCUCGCUGAAAGGCGAGCUAAUGCCCGAAUGUGAUUGUCAAAAAGCAUUUUAUGACAAUGAAAGCUGGGGAUCGUAAGACCUGGCGCUUUUCGAUAAGCCCGCGGCCUAUCAGCUAGUUGGUGAGGUAAUGGCUCACCAAGGCUAAGACGGGUAACUGGUCUGAGAGGACGACCAGUCACACUGGAACUGAGACACGGUCCAGACACCUACGGGUGGCAGCAGUCGAGAAUUUUUCACAAUGGGGGAAACCCUGAUGGAGCGACGCCGCGUGGGGGAUGAAUGGCUUCGGCCCGUAAACCCCUGUCAUUUGUGAACAAUGCGUCCAUUAAAACAUAUAGGACGUUGAUAGUAGCAGAAGAGGAAGGGACGGCUAACUCUGUGCCAGCAGCCGCGGUAAUACAGAGGUCCCAAGCGUUGUUCGGAUUUACUGGGCGUAAAGGGUGCGUAGGCGGUUAAGUAAGUUUGAAGUGAAAGCUCCAAGCUUAACUUGGAAAUUGCUUCAUAUACUAUUUA